AGCGAACGCUGGCGGCAGGCCUAACAUAUGCAAGUCGAACGAACCUUUCGGGGUUAGUGGCGGACGGGUGAGUAACACGUGGGAACGUGCCUUUAGGUUCGGAAUAACUCAGGGAAACUUGUGCUAAUACCGAAUGUGCCCUUCGGGGGAAAGAUUAAUCGCCUUUAGAGCGGCCCGCGUCUGAUUAGCUAGUUGGUUGAGGUAAUGGCUCACCAAGGCGACGAUCAGUAGCUGGUCUGAGAGGAUGAUCAGCCACAUUGGGACUGAGACACGGCCCAAACUCCUACGGGAGGCAGCAGUGGGGAAUCUUGCGCAAUGGGCGAAAGCCUGACGCAGCCAUGCCGCGUGAAUGAUGAAGGUCUUAGGAUUGUAAAAUUCUUUCACCGGGGACGAUAAUGACGGUACCCGGAGAAGAAGCCCCGGCUAACUUCGUG
Molecule: ribosomal RNA, 434 nt
Filed under: uncultured bacterium
Lineage: Bacteria
Description: partial 16S ribosomal RNA
Rfam family: Bacterial small subunit ribosomal RNA
Source: RNAcentral